GACGAACCGUCCAAACGUUAUUCGGAAUCACUGGGCUUACAGAGUUCGUAGGCGGUCUGGAAAGUUGGGUGUGAAAUCCCUCGGCCUAACCGAGGAACUGCGCUUGAAACUACCAGACUCGAGGGAGAUAGAGGAAAGCGGAACUGAUGGUGGAGCGGUGAAAUGCGUUGAUAUCAUCAGGAACACCGGUGGCGAAGGCGGGUCUCUGGGCCGAUACUGACGCUGAGGAGCGAAAGCGUGGGGAGCAAACAGG
Molecule: ribosomal RNA, 253 nt
Filed under: uncultured bacterium
Lineage: Bacteria
Description: partial 16S ribosomal RNA
Rfam family: Bacterial small subunit ribosomal RNA
Source: RNAcentral